UCCAAUGGACUACCGUCAUUCUCAAGUGUGCACAUCCUGUGGUAACGACGGUGUCGAUCUAACGCUCUUGGCACCAUUCAUUUUUAUUCAUCAGGCUCAUUUUGAAUCUCUGCGCCUCCGACAGCCACGGGAGCUCUUUUACCUGUAGUGUCUUUGUGGAAUAUCCAAUGUUUGGUCACUCAGAAACAUAGAUCUGUUUAUCUAUAUGAGAUAGCAGCAGUAACGGACUGCGUUAGGCAAUCGUGGAUUCCGUGGGACAUUAUGAAAUACUAGUCUCUAACAGUGGCUAUUAGAUUGUGUUCGUGUAAAGUGCUGAGAUUUCAACAUCGUCCGCGUCACCCGGAUUUGGACUAAUUUCAGGGCAGAUGGUGUAACAGUGUUCUUGAGUUGACGCGCGUAUUCGAGUGAAAUCGGUAGAGGGAAAUGUCUACAGAUUCUCCUAUAAUAUGACAGCAGAAUAGAACUGACGCUUUUCUCGUUGACCGGUUAUCACUUCAGUGGUGGGCACUCAUCUAUCUCUGGGUCUCCUACACAGCUGCCAAAAUACCUUAUCAAAACCAAACCAUGGUCCCUGGGACUCCGGCAGCGAUGCUCCCAGCUUCGGAGGCGGCCAAGAUCUAUCAGACUAACUACGUUCGGAACUCGCGCGCUAUUGGCGUGCUUUGGGCAAUUUUCACCAUACUGUUUGCUAUUGUCAAUGUAGUGUGUUUUAUUCAGCCCUACUGGAUCGGGGAUGGCGUGGACACCCCGCAGGGCGGCUACUUCGGCCUCUUCCACUACUGCAUAGGUAACGGGCUGUCCCGAGACCUCACGUGCAAGGGCAGCUUCACCGAUUUCAGCACCAUCCCCUCUGGUGCUUUCAAGGCUGCAUCCUUCUUCAUCGGGAUGUCCAUGGUCCUCGUCCUCUCCUGCAUCGGCUGCUUCGCAUUGUUCUUCUUCUGCAGCACUGCCACAGUCUACAAGAUCUGCGGCUGGAUACAACUUGCUGCAGGGACAUGUCUGGUGCUGGGCUGCAUGAUCUACCCAGAUGGCUGGGACUCGGACGAGGUGAAGAGGAUGUGUGGUGAGCAGACGGGGAAGUACACCAUCGGAGCGUGCUCGGUGCGCUGGGCCUACAUCCUGGCCAUCAUGGGCAUCAUGGACGCUAUGAUCCUCUCCUUCCUGGCCUUCGUGCUGGGAAACCGCCAAGACGGCCUCAUGGCCGAAGAGCUGCUCAGCGACAAUCCAGAUGGGGUUUUGGAGGAUAAUGGUCUUAUUAAACUUCAGCUUCUGGUUAUGUGUUAGCAAAUACACACACAUUAGAAUUCAACAGAGCAGGAGUACUCGCGAUGGGGAGAGCAAAAGAGAAAUGAGAGAGUGCUAUUGCAUAAUUGAAGGACCAAUUCAAACAGAUCCCACUGUCCAGAGAGGGAGCAAUGCUUAUAUAAUGUCGUGUUUCAGCAUUUUACCCAUAAUUCAAGGGUGGAAGGGCUGUCUGUGGAGGUUUGAGAGGACAGAGAGAGACAUCAGGAAGAAAGACAGAAGAAUGACAUGUGUGAACACAGGAACCUCUCACA
RNA transcript from Alosa sapidissima (American shad), 1556 nucleotides. It is a transcript of the gene named LHFPL tetraspan subfamily member 3, with no coding region annotated. The record is from RefSeq and is a predicted model, not a curated record. NCBI's taxonomy places the organism in Eukaryota, Metazoa, Chordata, Actinopteri, Clupeiformes, Clupeidae. The transcript is spliced from 5 exons.